RNAcentral lists this ribosomal RNA (460 nucleotides) under uncultured bacterium. RNAcentral describes it as "partial 16S ribosomal RNA". It matches the Rfam family "Bacterial small subunit ribosomal RNA", at positions 338 to 795 of the family's 1533-position model. The record is from RNAcentral.
CCUACGGGGUGCAGCAGUGAGGAAUAUUGGUCAAUGGACGCAAGUCUGAACCAGCCAUGCCGCGUGCAGGAAGACGGCUCUAUGAGUUGUAAACUGCUUUUGUACGAGGGUAAACGCAGAUACGCGUAUCUGUCUGAAAGUAUCGUACGAAUAAGGAUCGGCUAACUCAGUGCCAGCAGCCGCGGUAAUACGGAGGAUUCAAGCGUUAUCCGGAUUUAUUGGGUUUAAAGGGUGCGUAGGCGGUCGGAUAAGUUAGAGGUGAAAUCCCGAGGCUCAACUUCGGAAUUGCCUCUGAUACUGUUCGGCGAGAGAGUAGUUGCGGUAGGCGGAAUGUAUGGUGUAGCGGUGAAAUGCUUAGAGAUCAUACAGAACACCGAUUGCGAAGGCAGCUUACCAAGCUACUUCUGACGUUGAGGCACGAAAGCGUGGGGAGCAAACAGGAGUAGAUACCCGAGUAGUC